UUACCCGCCAGGGGACUACAAGCACUAGCUUAAAACCCAAAGGACUUGGCGGUGCCUCAAACCCAUCUAGAGGAGCCUGUUCUACAACUGAUAAUCCUCGUUAAACCUCACCACCCCUUGUUAACCCCGCCUAUAUACCGCCGUCGCCAGCUCACCUUGUGAAAGAUUAAUAGUGAGCCUAAUGGGAAUAUCCCAGAACGUCAGGUCGAGGUGUAGCGAAUGAGGUGGGAAGAAAUGGGCUACAUUUUCUGACCCCAGAAUACUACGAAAAAUGCUAUGAAACAUUGCAUACAGAAGGUGGAUUUAGCAGUAAAGAGAAAACAGAGUGUUCUCUUGAAAUUGGCUCUGAGGCGCGUACAC
Molecule: ribosomal RNA, 360 nt
Filed under: Halosaurus johnsonianus
Lineage: Eukaryota; Metazoa; Chordata; Actinopteri; Notacanthiformes; Halosauridae
Description: partial 12S ribosomal RNA
Rfam family: Bacterial small subunit ribosomal RNA
Source: RNAcentral